Brassica rapa (field mustard) is the source of this 558-nucleotide long non-coding RNA. RefSeq lists it as uncharacterized. NCBI's taxonomy places the organism in Eukaryota, Viridiplantae, Streptophyta, Magnoliopsida, Brassicales, Brassicaceae. The record is from RefSeq and is a predicted model, not a curated record.
AUCAAACCAUAGAUACCCAAGACACCAGCCAUAACAACAGGGACAAUAGACUGCAUGACCAACUCAGGUCUCAUGACACCCAUAGAUGCCACACCCACACCACUCUUGGCAGUCCCAUAUGCAGCUCCCAUGCCUAAAAAGACGAGGGCUGCGGCAGCGCCGAUGAAGCCGAAGAAACGAGCGGACUCAUCGCCACUAAACGUAGACAUUUCCAACGAUUCUCGAUCUUAAGAUGACGCCGAUGAAUCUGACUGAAUUAUGAUGGAGUUCAGAGGGUGAAUGAUUGAGGAAGGAAAGAGAGACAUUCAUUGCAGUCGAAUAAGAAGUUGCCACGUAUGGGUUCUUACCAUCUCUUAAAAUCCCAAAUUAAAGAUUGGUUCUCUGCUUUUUUUUCAUUUAUUUUUUGCCUUUAUUUGUUUGGAACCUCUUCUAAGCACUCCCGAUGGAGUUGGUCUAAACAUGUAUCGAUGGAUUUGGGUUUGAUUUGAGCUGCUUUGUACUUCCCUGUUUUGGGUUUUUCCAUUUUCAAUGAAAUGGGUUGUCAGAAAAAAGAACUAA